RNAcentral lists this ribosomal RNA (488 nucleotides) under uncultured bacterium. RNAcentral describes it as "partial 16S ribosomal RNA". It matches the Rfam family "Bacterial small subunit ribosomal RNA", at positions 30 to 507 of the family's 1533-position model. The record is from RNAcentral.
AUUGAACGCUGGCGGCAGGCCUAACACAUGCAAGUCGAACGGUAGCACAGAGAGCUUGCUCUCGGGUGACGAGUGGCGGACGGGUGAGUAAUGUCUGGGAAACUGCCCGAUGGAGGGGGAUAACUACUGGAAACGGUAGCUAAUACCGCAUAAUGUCGCAAGACCGAAGAGGGGGACCUUCGGGCCUCUUGCCAUCGGAUGUGCCCAGAUGGGAUUAGCUAGUUGGUGAGGUAAUGGCUCACCAAGGCGACGAUCCCUAGCUGGUCUGAGAGGAUGACCAGCCACACUGGAACUGAGACACGGUCCAGACUCCUACGGGAGGCAGCAGUGGGGAAUAUUGCACAAUGGGCGCAAGCCUGAUGCAGCCAUGCCGCGUGUAUGAAGAAGGCCUUCGGGUUGUAAAGUACUUUCAGCGGGGAGGAAGGCAAUGCGGUUAAUAACCGUGUUGAUUGACGUUACCCGCAGAAGAAGCACCGGCUAACUCCGUG